CCUACGGGGGACAGCAGUCGAGAAUCAUUCACAAUGGGGGAAACCCUGAUGGUGCGACGCCGCGUGGAGGAAUGAAGGUCUUCGGAUUGUAAACCCCUGUCAUGUGGGAGCAAAUUAAAAAGAUAGAACCACAAUAGGAAGAGACUGCUAACUCGGUGACAGAAGCCGCGGUAAUACAGAGGUCCCAAGCGUUGUUCGGAAUCACAGGGCGUAAAGCGUGCGUAGGCUGUUUCGUAAGUCGUGUGUGAAAGGCGCGGGCUCAACCCGCGGACGGCAUAUGAUACUGUGAGACUAGAGUAAUGGAGGGGGAACCGGAAUUCUCUGUGAAGCAGUGAAAUGCGUAGAUAUCGAGAGGAACACUCGUGGCGAAGGCGGGUUCCUGGACAUUAACUGACGCUGAGGCACGAAGGCCAGGGGAGCGAAAGGGAUUAGAUACCCCGGUAGUC
This 446-nucleotide ribosomal RNA is filed under the name uncultured bacterium. RNAcentral's name for it is "partial 16S ribosomal RNA". It matches the Rfam family "Bacterial small subunit ribosomal RNA", at positions 338 to 795 of the family's 1533-position model. The record is from RNAcentral.